RNAcentral lists this ribosomal RNA (440 nucleotides) under uncultured bacterium. RNAcentral's name for it is "partial 16S ribosomal RNA". It matches the Rfam family "Bacterial small subunit ribosomal RNA", at positions 339 to 795 of the family's 1533-position model. The record is from RNAcentral.
CUACGGGAUGCUGCAGUGAGGAAUAUUGCACAAUGGGGGGAACCCUGAUGCAGCAACGCCGCGUGGAGGAUGACGCAUUUCGGUGUGUAAACUCCUUUUAUAUGUCAAGAAAAUGACGGUAGCAUAUGAAUAAGCACCGGCUAACUCCGUGCCGAGCAGCCGCGGUAAUACGGAGGGUGCAAGCGUUACUCGGAAUCACUGGGCGUAAAGGACGCGUAGGCGGGUUGGAAAGUCAGGUGUGAAAUCCUACAGCUUAACUGUAGAACUGCACUUGAAACUUCUAAUCUAGAGUAUGGGAGGGGGAGAUGGAAUUAGUGGUGUAGGGGUAAAAUCCGUAGAUAUCACUAGGAAUACCUAAAGCGAAGGCGAUCUCCUGGAACAUUACUGACGCUAAGGCGUGAAAGCGUGGGGAGCAAACAGGAUUAGAUACCCGUGUAGUC